RNAcentral lists this unclassified non-coding RNA (298 nucleotides) under Hevea brasiliensis (rubber tree). The record is from RNAcentral. Lineage: Eukaryota; Viridiplantae; Streptophyta; Magnoliopsida; Malpighiales; Euphorbiaceae.
ACACAUCAAUCUCUGACUCACUGCCAGCAUAGGUUAAAUAUAACGAAAAUUUCAACUUGUCAAUAACAUCCAUGGGGAAUCCAGUCUAAACAAAAAUAAAGAGUUAAAGACAUCAUUUCUCAUGGCAAAUUAGGAUAGCAUAUUAAGGGAAACAUCAAAGAAGAAAAAUCAUUAAGGCUAUCAAAAUUCAAACCCGAGAAAAAUUUUCAGCCAACAAAAGAAACAAGCCCAUAUUUAGUGACUAGUGUAGUGGCUAAAUAUGGCCCUAGGGGGUGUUCGGUACAAGGUUAACAAGGGG